CCAAGGAUGGGCAUCCUGCAUACGUGCUUUAGCAGCUGCUGAGCUUCUUAUCCGCUAGGGGCUCUCUCCCAGGGACUGACUGGCAACUUGACUUCAUCCACAUGCCCACAGUCAUGUGAGUUAAAAACCUCCUGGUACAAGUGGAUACUUUCUCAGGGUGUGUAGA
This 166-nucleotide long non-coding RNA is filed under the name Cricetulus griseus (Chinese hamster). RNAcentral's name for it is "lncRNA (ENSCGRG00000025641.1)". The record is from RNAcentral. Lineage: Eukaryota; Metazoa; Chordata; Mammalia; Rodentia; Cricetidae.